Molecule: long non-coding RNA, 391 nt
Organism: Formica exsecta
Lineage: Eukaryota; Metazoa; Arthropoda; Insecta; Hymenoptera; Formicidae
Exons: 3
Source: RefSeq, a predicted model, not a curated record
UUACAUGGAGCGCGGAAACGCGGAAACACGGAAGAGAAUUGUAACUAGAAAAGUAACUAUUCCGCGUUUCCGCGAAUUGAGUCGUUUCUUUCCGCACAUUUGAGCGGAAUCCGCGGAAUCCGUUACCGUCUCAACAAAACUCAACAAAAGUGUAUAGAAAAUAUAAAAACUUUAUAAAUGGAUGGUCCUGAUCUCCCAAUUGCAUCUCCACAAGUAGAUUGUCGCUGUCACCUUGAAGAAGUCUUCUUGUCUCAGUAAAAAUAGCCGUACCCAUAUUUUACGGUUCUUUCUGCCUUGCAGUUUCUUCCCAAAAUGAUAUCAGUAAGUUAUCUUUUUGUAAGAUAUCUUUCAGAAGAACUCUUUAUGAUAUCUCUUCAUAGAUAUCUCUAAA